RNAcentral lists this unclassified non-coding RNA (430 nucleotides) under fungal sp. Its description in RNAcentral is "partial internal transcribed spacer region". The stretch from base 1 to 46 matches the Rfam family "Eukaryotic small subunit ribosomal RNA", at positions 1786 to 1831 of the family's 1831-position model. The record is from RNAcentral. Lineage: Eukaryota; Fungi.
AAGUCGUAACAAGGUUUCCGUAGGUGAACCUGCGGAAGGAUCAUUAACACGUAUCCACGUUUCAUACAACUUAUCAACAAACUCGACGAACUGAACUCCCUGCUGAAUAAAACUGCGGUGUCGUAAUCCUGUCUUGGUGGGUCCCAGUAAACAUGUAGUUGUUAUAGACUUGUGUUAAGCUGAAGGCUGGCAGGCAUCGACUAUCACACUUCGACUGUGAGCCAAAACAAUUUCAGUCAGGCUUACUUACUCUACUCUCGCGUGUAGUUACUACAAUCCUUACCAUCAUAAGGCCGAGUUUAGAACCCCAUACCAAUUUCACCCUUCUUUACCCAUUUGACUAAUUACUAUAUUCUUAGGAGAAAUCCUUUGAAUUACUAAGAUUUAUCUUAACUAAGCACAACUCUUAGCAAUGGAUAUCUUGGUUCUC